UACGUAGGGGGCAAGCGUUGUCCGGAUUUAUUGGGCGUAAAGAGCGUGUAGGCGGCCAGGUAGGUCCGUUGUGAAAACUCGAGGCUCAACCUCGAGACGUCGGCGGAAACCCUCUGGCUAGAGUCCGGAAGAGGAGAGUGGAAUUCCUGGUGUAGCGGUGAAAUGCGCAGAUAUCAGGAGGAACACCGAUGGCGAAGGCAGGUCUCUGGGCAUUAACUGACGCUGAGGAGCGAAAGCAUGGGGAGCGAACAGG
Molecule: ribosomal RNA, 253 nt
Filed under: uncultured prokaryote
Description: partial 16S ribosomal RNA
Rfam family: Bacterial small subunit ribosomal RNA
Source: RNAcentral